GCAAGCCCAAGGAGUAAACAAGCCCCAUGAUGAAGGGACAGGCAUGACUAGAGGUGCGCUGCAAAAAUUUUGCUGAAACAGCAUCUCCAGAACUUCCUGUGGAUUUGAGGCUGAAGGAAAACACUAUCUAACCCAAAGGAAAAGACAGACCAUGGUCCUUGGAGCACAGUAUCCAACGAUGGAGGGAAAGCCCGGCGACCCGUUGUUGUACAGAAGCCUUCACCAAGCUCUGAGGCUGGCACACGUCCUUAUGAGGCAGCCUGAGGACCAGAUCCUUGGACAUUCUCCGUGGGCCCCCAUUGGGUGACUAGCGCUGACAUCACUUCAUCCACCAACUCACAUAUGGCCUUCUGCGGAGAGAAGGGAUCUUUCUAAAUAUACAGCUGUCUUCUCACUAGGAACGAAGGACAAAACCCAGUUUCUCUAGAGCCUGGCUGGGGAAUUCUGGGAGUUGAAGUCCACCCAUCUUAAACUUGCCAAGGUUGAGAAACACUGCUCUGGAUAGUAAUUGGACAUCUUUGGACACCCACCUUCCAAGAAACAUGCAAAGGAUUUCACAAUUAUCUGAAAAACAGAGGUUAUGAGAAGAUAUUUGGAGUGAGAUAUCAUGGUUCAUAAUGUGUCCAGGGUUGGGAAUGGAAGGGCAACCGUGAGUCCUAUUUUACACAGAGUGGUCCUCAAUUUGGUAUUCUCUUUUAUCUGAAACCUUUCUGUUGCAAAGCAUGGCCAUUACACUGACCUCCACAUACAGAGAAAACCCCAUCCAAAGUAUGAUUCAAGCUGGAAGAAUGGUUGGUGAAGGUGACAGAACUUGCAGAGAU
Molecule: long non-coding RNA, 821 nt
Organism: Python bivittatus (Burmese python)
Lineage: Eukaryota; Metazoa; Chordata; Lepidosauria; Squamata; Pythonidae
Source: RefSeq, a predicted model, not a curated record